UCCUACGGGAGGCAGCAGCUAAGAAUCUUCCGCAAUGGGCGCAAGCCUGACGGAGCGACGCCGCGUGGGUGAAGAAUGCCGAGAGGUUGUAAAACCCUUUUCUCACAGAAGAAUAAUUCCCUGAGGUAAUGCGGGGGAGAUGACGUUAUGUGAGGAAUAAGCACCGGCCAAUUACGUGCCAGCAGCCGCGGUAACACGUAAGGUGCGAGCGUUGUUCGGAAUUAUUGGGCGUAAAGGGCUCGUAGGCGGCCUGCCAAGUCUCACGUGAAAGACCGGGGCUCAACCCCGGGGACGCGAGGGAAACUGGCAAGCUUGAAUCCUGGAGGGGGUACUGGAAUUCCUAGUGUAGGGGUGAAAUCUGUUGAUAUUAGGAAGAACACCGGAGGCGAAGGCGAGUACCUGGCCAAGGAUUGACGCUGAUGAGCGAAAGCGUAGGGAGCGAACAGGAUUAGAUACCCUGGUAGUCUACGCCGUAAACGAUGUGCACUUGAUGGUGGGGCCGUCCGGUUUCACUGUCGUAGCUAACGCGUUAAGUGCACCGCCUGUGGAGUACGCCGGCAACGGUUAAACUCUAAUGAAUUGACGG
This 586-nucleotide ribosomal RNA is filed under the name uncultured bacterium. RNAcentral's name for it is "bacterial SSU rRNA". It matches the Rfam family "Bacterial small subunit ribosomal RNA", at positions 337 to 916 of the family's 1533-position model. The record is from RNAcentral.